This 496-nucleotide ribosomal RNA is filed under the name uncultured bacterium. Its description in RNAcentral is "partial 16S ribosomal RNA". It matches the Rfam family "Bacterial small subunit ribosomal RNA", at positions 28 to 506 of the family's 1533-position model. The record is from RNAcentral.
GAUGAACGCUGGCGGCGUGCCUAAUACAUGCAAGUCGAGCGAACAGAUGAGGAGCUUGCUCCUCUGACGUUAGCGGCGGACGGGUGAGUAACACGUGGAUAACCUACCUAUAAGACUGGGAUAACUUCGGGAAACCGGAGCCAAUACCGGAUAAUAUAUUGAACCGCAUGGUUCAAUAGUGAAAGACGGUUUUGCUGUCACUUAUAGAUGGAUCCGCGCCGCAUUAGCUAGUUGGUAAGGUAACGGCUUACCAAGGCAAUGAUGCGUAGCCGACCUGAGAGGGUGAUCGGCCACACUGGAACUGAGACACGGUCCAGACUCCUACGGGAGGCAGCAGUAGGGAAUCUGCCGCAAUGGGCGAAAGCCUGACGGAGCAACGCCGCGUGAGUGAUGAAGGUCUUCGGAUCGUAAAACUCUGUUAUUAGGGAAGAACAAAUGUGUAAGUAACUAUGCACGUCUUGACGGUACCUAAUCAGAAAGCCACGGCUAACUACGU